ACAGGAAAAUUGUUAUCCAAAGAACCUUUAAAAAAUAAAAGAAUUUCAUUUUUAAUAUGUAGUGAUUAACAUCCACUUCGUUUUUGCUGUUGGUCUCCAAAGAAUUCUAAAUUUUUUUUUUUAAAUAAUAACAUACAACUGCUGAAAUUGUACAAAAAAACUACUAUUACAAGUUGGAGUAAUUUCAAAUUGAAGCCACUCCAUCACUGAAAACCUUCCUCAGUUGAUUAUGCAAACUCCUGGCUAUAGUUGCAUCUUUGACAUUUUAACUAGUUAACUAAGAAUUCUAGCAUCUAGCAAGUCCUUCCUUCCCGUUAUGAGCAACUUCAUCAGGGUAUUGUCCACAGACAGGUCGUGGAGCAAACUUUUGUCUCAGGUCCUUGAUGAUGCAAACAACUACCUUGGUCUUACUUUGUGCUUUCUCACCAGUCACCAUCUCUGAGUAUUUCUAUUCUAAUUGAGCUUUCCUCAAACAAGUCCUGUCAGCAUUUUUGGUCUAGAAUGUAUGGAAAGAACUCCUCGGGAGCAACCUCCCCUUGCAUCUGCAUAAUUAGUUCCUAUUUCCAACAAACAAGUUCAUCACUUUCUAAAGAGGGAAAAUAAAAGCAAUCUCCAAUAAAACAGAGGAUACAACACUUGCCUAGUCUCAAGGUCAGCCUCAUUUGUCCUCAACUCUCACACAUUGGCAAUCUUCAGAUAUUUAGUUCCAGGAAUGACCAUUAAAGAGCACUGAACUGCCAAAGUUGAAAUUGCCUAACCAGAGCACCACCAACAAAGUAAGCUAAUUUAAUUGUUUUAAAAGCAGAAAUCUUGCGAGAAAUUGACAGACAUAUGCCCAUAAAUACACUAUCAGAGAAAGAAAGAAAGAGGGGGAAAAAAGCAAUCUACAAAAAUUGUACCUACACAAUUUAAGAAAGAAAAUCCAAACAGACUCUCUUCUAUUUCCUUUUUGAAAAGAACUCAUAGGUGACUUUCAACAUUCUAAGUAAAGGUUUUGUGAAGAACGACGCACACUAAAAUUCAAUUACAACAAUUAAUUUCUUAACUUUCUUUGAGGCAAGAACAGAGACUAGUUAUUCCUCCCUUCUCUUUAUUUUUUUAUUUUUUUUUGGGCACAUCAAAAUAAUGAAUAAGAGCCUAGCCCCACAAGCGCCAAAAAUAAAAUUAAAAAAAGGAAGAAGAAGAAGAGCAUCAGAGUCUAAUGAUGACUUACUUUGGAUCUUUACCGUAACCAUCAAUUCUUGUUAUCAAGGACUAACAAACAGCCCAAAUCUAAAGUUAAGUUGGAUUUUUAUCAGUUUGAUGGUCUCCAAUUAGAUGUAAGCUUUGCAGGAAAAGAAAGAUGAGCAGCGCCAAUGAGGAGGGGGGUUGAGAUAGAAACAGGGCCCUGGAAGUGAAAAAUAUUUAAUUAGUUCUGCAAAAAAGCAAUAAAAAACUGCUAAAAGAAAUGAAUUGAAAAACAAGCAAAGAGGUUGAACAGGGAGAAAAGGCCAUUAAACCUGAAUGAACAUUUCUGGUAGAUCAUUAAUCCGAUGAUCCGUUAACAUUGUCUUCUCUAUUUUUAAUGAGCAACAAACGUAAAAUUUCUUCCGUUUCUUCUUCUUUGUAUUUUUUUCUUAUAUCUUUGCUAUGCUCCAUGAGAAGCAUUCUCGCCUCAACCAAAAAAAUCAAUCGCCCUUGCUUAGGGGAAAGAAUGGCGUAUAUAUAGAUACAAGCAGACACUACACCCAUUUCUUGGAUAUUACCAUCAUACGUCAGCUUAUCCACAGAAUUUCACACGUUUAUGGAGAGUUGAUGGCACCGGGAAAGUGAUCCGGAUUUUUAGGCUUGGCGCAUAUGUUAUGAGUACUAAAUGCAUUCACACUCGCUGACAACUCCUAAAUUUAGAAAAGCACCAAAUGCGUUCACACCCACUGACUGCGAAAAAAUUUUGGACAUAAAGCUCAACAUAAUAGCCUUAUCAAUUUUCCUCAAAAUUUUGCAACAGAAGUCUUCUUGAACCAUUCCACUAUAUCAAUUUUAAGGAAAUUGAGUUGCUACAUUUGUUGGGUUGAACUUAACCCCCGUAUAUAGGUUGUCU
This 2080-nucleotide long non-coding RNA is filed under the name Coffea arabica (coffee). Its description in RNAcentral is "long non-coding RNA (CARA_LNC007326)". The record is from RNAcentral. Lineage: Eukaryota; Viridiplantae; Streptophyta; Magnoliopsida; Gentianales; Rubiaceae.